UACGUAGGGGGCAAGCGUUGUCCGGAAUUAUUGGGCGUAAAGCGCGUGUAGGCGGCUUGGUAAGUCUGGUGUGAAACCUUGGGGCUCAACCCCAAGCCUGCACUGGAAACUGCCUCGCUAGAGUCCGGGAGGGGAGAGCGGAAUUCCUAGUGUAGCGGUGAAAUGCGCAGAUAUUAGGAAGAACACCGGUGGCGAAGGCGGCUCUCUGGAACGGUACUGACGCUGAGACGCGAAAGCGUGGGGAGCGAAC
RNAcentral lists this ribosomal RNA (250 nucleotides) under uncultured bacterium. RNAcentral's name for it is "partial 16S ribosomal RNA". It matches the Rfam family "Bacterial small subunit ribosomal RNA", at positions 524 to 773 of the family's 1533-position model. The record is from RNAcentral.